AAAGCAUGGUGAGGGCAUUUCGUAAACAUCUCCUUAAAUCUCACCCAACCUUUAUAAAUUGAUUCACCUCAAAAUGGGAAAAAGAAGUUAUAUCAUUUAUAAGUUU
Small nucleolar RNA from Dendrobium catenatum, 106 nucleotides. Lineage: Eukaryota; Viridiplantae; Streptophyta; Magnoliopsida; Asparagales; Orchidaceae. The record is from RefSeq and is a predicted model, not a curated record.